GAUGAAGAACGUAGCGAAAUGCGAUAAGUAGUGUGAAUUGCAGAAUUCAGUGAAUCAUCGAAUCUUUGAACGCACAUUGCGCCCCUUGGUAUUCCAUGGGGCAUGCCUGUUCGAGCGUCAUUUGUACCUUCAAGCUCUGCUUGGUGUUGGGUGUUUGUCUCGCCUCUGUGUGUAGACUCGCCUUAAAACAAUUGGCAGCCGGCGUAUUGAUUUCGGAGCGCAGUACAUCUCGCGCUUUGCACUCAUAACGACGACGUCCAAAAGUACAUUUUUACACUCUUGACCUCGGAUCAGGUAGGGAUACCCGCUGAACUUAAGCAUAUCAAUAAGCGGAGGA
RNAcentral lists this unclassified non-coding RNA (337 nucleotides) under soil metagenome. RNAcentral's name for it is "partial contains 5.8S ribosomal RNA, internal transcribed spacer 2, and large subunit ribosomal RNA". The stretch from base 1 to 120 matches the Rfam family "5.8S ribosomal RNA", at positions 35 to 154 of the family's 154-position model. The record is from RNAcentral.